AGUGAACGCUGGCGGUAGGCCUAACACAUGCAAGUCGAACGGCAGCACAGGAGAGCUUGCUCUCUGGGUGGCGAGUGGCGGACGGGUGAGGAAUACAUCGGAAUCUGCCCAGUCGUGGGGGAUAACGUAGGGAAACUUACGCUAAUACCGCAUACGACCUUCGGGGCAAGGCGGGGGAUCGCAAGACCUCUCGCGAUUGGAUGAGCCGAUGUCGGAUUAGCUAGUUGGCGGGGUAAUGGCCCACCAAGGCGACGAUCCGUAGCUGGUCUGAGAGGAUGAUCGGCCACACUGGAACUGAGACACGGUCCAGACUCCUACGGGAGGCAGCAGUGGGGAAUAUUGGACAAUGGGCGCAAGCCUGAUCCAGCCAUACCGCGUGGGUGAAGAAGGCCUUCGGGUUGUAAAGCCCUUUUGUUGGGAAAGAAAUCUUUCAGGCUAAUACCCUGGGAGGAUGACGGUACCCAAAGAAUAAGCACCGGCUAACUUCGUG
RNAcentral lists this ribosomal RNA (490 nucleotides) under uncultured bacterium. RNAcentral describes it as "partial 16S ribosomal RNA". It matches the Rfam family "Bacterial small subunit ribosomal RNA", at positions 29 to 507 of the family's 1533-position model. The record is from RNAcentral.